Molecule: long non-coding RNA, 501 nt
Filed under: Manihot esculenta (cassava)
Lineage: Eukaryota; Viridiplantae; Streptophyta; Magnoliopsida; Malpighiales; Euphorbiaceae
Description: long non-coding RNA (MESC_LNC005111)
Source: RNAcentral
CUUACUCCCGCCUUGUUCUUCAGUUGAUUGACUUGAGUGUCAGAGUGGCUACCGUAAACGCCAACCACCUCACUUUCUCCUUCUUGUAGGUCUAGUCAAUCACAGCACAGCUCCGAUUCGGCCAUGUCAUAAUUUUAGUUCUAGCAACAUCAUUGGUUCUGUUGCCGAGAAACCUAUUGAAUUUUCUCUGUUCAUUUGAAUUAAAACUGGUCUCUUAUCCCUUUUCUCUUAAAAAAAAAUCUCACCUUUUUCUCUUAAAAAAAAUCUCACCUUUCUCUCCGGAAUUUCACAGGCUACUGCUAAAGGUGUUACCAAUGAGGACGCCAUCAUUUCUUCCAUCCCUGGCAGUGGACAAACGCGCCCUCAAUGGUCAAUGAAGUAGAUCUCAAUAAUCUGAGCAUUGAGCAUGUCAGAAGGUUGCAGGUUGCUUUCGAGCAAUGCAAAACUCGGGAGGAGGCGUCGCUUAUGGCUCCCGAAGGAAGGGAGGACGUCUCUGUUGAU